AUGCGCGCGCAAUUAAUGCCCAGUUGCCCGUCGGUCCGUUUGGUGUGCCCAGCACAAUCUUCUCUCCUUCCCAUCGAUUAUUUUCUUUUCUCCCUCCAGCCUCUACACUUCAUCUACAGAAGGGGCAACCCAUCGUGCCCUCCUUCAGAAAUCUUAUCCUGUCUACACUACGGGGCGGUGGCGGCGGCGGAUGGGAUCCCAUCUCCAUGCCAGGUGCUCCUCGGGCAUGACAGCCGAUCUGGCUCACCUCCAUGGCACUCCGGGAUUCGCUGGGAUGGAUCAUCAAGAUGGCAGUGUCCUGAUCUGCCCUCCCACCGUCUAUGUCUUUGUUCCAUCCAAGGUAUCUCCGGUGCUACUCCUCCACUGGCUGUCUGCACCACCCAAGCCAACCGCAACCACUUCUUGCGUCCACCUCCCACACAGGUUAAUAUUGCAGAAAUUUCUUCACUUCCUGCACAUAGAUCAAGAGAAAGGAUGACAAAGACUAGAUAA
RNAcentral lists this ribosomal RNA (492 nucleotides) under Triticum aestivum (bread wheat). RNAcentral's name for it is "partial small subunit ribosomal RNA". The record is from RNAcentral. Lineage: Eukaryota; Viridiplantae; Streptophyta; Magnoliopsida; Poales; Poaceae.